Molecule: non-coding RNA, 762 nt
Organism: Drosophila melanogaster (fruit fly)
Lineage: Eukaryota; Metazoa; Arthropoda; Insecta; Diptera; Drosophilidae
Source: Ensembl
CGAUUUCAUAAAUACGUUUGCUACAAAAUUCCCGAUUCGAGUAACUCGACCUUUUUAAAACAAGCAUACAUUUAUAGUCUCAAUUGUGAUUUAAGUACAUGCAUAUUAAAAUUGCUUUUUUGGCUGUUUUGCAAUCUCCACGUUCAUACAAACGGACACACAUACGUGCAUGUGCGUUACUGUAUGCCAUCCUGCGAAUGUGUGUGUGCGACUGCCCAAGUAGGAGGAGCAAGAGCUCGGCCGAUACUGAUGAUAUGGUGACUUCUUCCGAUACUCCUCUUAUAUUCCAGCAGACAACGGCCAGAACGACGACAGCCAACUACGACUAUUCAAUAUUUCCUUGGGCGUCCUGUUUUGCCGCAAAAGGAGAACAAGGACGAAAGCGUUCUAGCCGCUUGCCCACUUCCAGGGGGCCAAUGGAGAUUGUCUCCUUGGUUGCCACGCCUGCCAAUUGGAAGGUGUCGGCACCGGAAAUUGGCCAACUCGGAUUCCGAAUUGCGUUCAUCAUCUUUCAGUUUGCUGGUUGCCGGCCAAGAAAAUUACCGAAUUUUUCAUUCGAAUGGAGCAGUUAAUUUGAGGUGACCACUUGCCUAUUAAUGCGGCUUGAAUUCAACCUGGCGUAGCUUUGUUUUCUCUGGUGAUUUUGUGGUUGUGAAAAAGUGGAAAACAGCUCCAAACAGGAUGCACGAAAGGUUGUCUAUUUACAAGCAAUAUUUUCGCAUAUGUCCAUGAUUUUGUUUCUAACACUUUCUAUGCGUCCUU